This 11217-nucleotide long non-coding RNA is filed under the name Triticum aestivum (bread wheat). RNAcentral's name for it is "long non-coding RNA (TAES_LNC017055)". Lineage: Eukaryota; Viridiplantae; Streptophyta; Magnoliopsida; Poales; Poaceae. The record is from RNAcentral.
GAGUGCUUACCCGAGGGUCAUGGGGAGGACACCGACGAUCAUCUUCGACAACCAUCUGCCGACAGCGAUGAAGCACCACCAGGAAACGAGGCACCAUUUGAAGACAACCCGCCAUUCGUAGAUGAUACACAAUGUGGGGACGACACACAAUGGGGAGACACGCCAUGGGGAGACGAUCCACCAUUUGGAGAUGACCCAGUAGGCGUAAACGGAGACGACCCACCAUGCGGAGAUGACCCCCCAUGUGGAGAUGACCCCCCAUGAGGAGACCAUCCACACUAUGGAUAUGAUACACCAUGCAGGGAGGAGCCACCAUGGACUUACAGUAGGAGAAAUGAGGUUCUCUUCCACCAUUUCUUCACACUUCUUAUCAUUGGGACCCUCUAUCCCUUCACCAUGAUUAGUGAUCUCCACCUCGUUUAUCAUCACUUUUUCUUCCCCCAACCUCCAGACUUCAAGCCUAGGAUGACCAGGAUGAGCGCUGAUUGCACUCCUAAUAGCAUCCUCUGCAGUUUCCACCUCCCUAGCCUCUGCGUCCUCACAGUCAAUAUCUACAUGGAGAUAUCUGAGGGAAGCGAGGUGCUCGAUGCCAAACUGAAAACCAUAAUGCACAGACACUCCUUUUACUCGAAACUUGAGGUGGAGAUUUUCCAGUGCAAGCAUACUCCCUUGUUCAAACAUCACCAUGUCCAAACCUUUCCAAUAAAUGAAGUCAAAUUGCUUUAGACAUCGGAAGAUUGUGAGCUGAAGAUUUCACCGACAGCAAGAGAACUAGCAGAGAAGGCAAUUUCCCAAGGAUCUUCAGUGCAUCCUCUCCCACUGUAUCAAUGUUGAUCUCCAACACUCGGAGGCUAACAAGUGAGGUCAUCCAUGCUGGUAUUCUUGGGAAAUAGUAAUCUGAAGUCAUCCGAAACUUGUGGAGGUGGUCAAAAGGAGCAGACAGGGAAUCCAACAAAAAAUCCAGGGAACACCCAGAACCACUGCUAAUAUGAAGAGACUGGAGGUUGGAAGUGCCAAGUUUGUCAAGUGAAGAGAUCAAGCUACGGACACAGGUUUCCCUACAAAUAUUUGUGUCACUAAUGCACCAGUUUAGCCCGAGAACCCUCAGCAUAGACAAACGGCUCAGCUCCUCCAAAGAAUUUGGCGAGUUACUGCUCUCUACUUCAACAUGGGAGAGCUCCUGAAGAAGUUGCAACUCUCCAAUUCCAUCUGGCAAUUUUACAUUUUUAACAAGUAAAUAAGUGAGUUGCUUCAGUCGAACAAUACUGCAGGGCAAUCUGUUUAUGGGUGCACGAGUCAGAUCCAAUGUCUGGAGGAACUGCAGUUCCACUAUUUGUUCUGGCAGCUCAAUGAUCCUUGUUGCUUGAAGACGCAGAUACUUUAACAGGUAUAGUUUUCCUAUAUGUUGAAGAUACCUGGCACCUUCUAACUCCCCACUACUUUCCAGAUCAAGAACUCGAAGUGCUCGAAAGUUUGCAAGAGUAGGCAUCUCUUUAUCAGUCACACAAAUGGUGAGUGAUCGGAUAUGAGACGCAGUUAUAGCAGAUGGUAAAAAGAUAUCCUUUCUAUCAUGAUCACAGUAAAGAGAUAGGCGGCGAAUUCUGUCUUGGUAGUCCAAAAAUGCUACCAGGGUCAUCAUAUCUGGUUACAAAAUUCUCUUCCGCAGAUUUAGAUAAAAUGAGAUCCCAAUUCAUGUUCUGAACUUGGCAAACUUCGACUCGGCCAUCGUAUCGAAUUGAUCACCCCUAACACGGCUACAUGGGACCGGGGCAUGAUUAGAACACCUUUAUAAGGAUCGACGCAGAAGUAAUUUGGGCUAUUACUCUAUCUAUGUACUAAGACAAGUACGAUCUGNNNNNNNNNNNNNNNNNNNNNNNNNNNNNNNNNNNNNNNNNNNNNNNNNNNNNNNNNNNNNNNNNNNNNNNNNNNNNNNNNNNNNNNNNNNNNNNNNNNNNNNNNNNNNNNNNNNNNNNNNNNNNNNNNNNNNNNNNNNNNNNNNNNNNNNNNNNNNNNNNNNNNNNNNNNNNNNNNNNNNNNNNNNNNNNNNNNNNNNNNNNNNNNNNNNNNNNNNNNNNNNNNNNNNNNNNNNNNNNNNNNNNNNNNNNNNNNNNNNNNNNNNNNNNNNNNNNNNNNNNNNNNNNNNNNNNNNNNNNNNNNNNNNNNNNNNNNNNNNNNNNNNNNNNNNNNCGGGGCUCUCUUCGUCGGCUCUGUCCUCGCGCCGGUGUCGCAGCCGCCAGGUGGUUCUAGAUCCGCGCCGCUCCGGGGCGGCGGCCUCUCGUCCUGGCAGGAGGGCCGCGCGACAGAGGGCGUCGGUGGCGGUGUUGCUCGGCUGUUGUUGCCCUGUAGCAGGCUGCGGGGUCAGAUCUAGAACCCUCAAGGUGCGGCGCACUGCGCGAGUUCGUGGCAGCGCUGGGGGCUCUCCACGGCCAUGGGGGCACGGUGCAGGCCACUCGUGCUCCGGUGGUGCUUCUCAGGGUGCGUGUCGGCGUCGCCCUGUGGCUCGCGUUGGUGGUCCGGGCAAGGCGAGCUUGGCGGCGGGGAUGGAUCUGGCUGGUGGUGGUUGGGGUGAGAUGGUCAGGAUCUGGCAUGGCUGGAUCUCCACUCUGGUUGACGCUGGUGCUCGCGGUGAGCAGUGGUGUCACCAGAGGUACCUUUUUGCUUGCUCCGGCGGGGACGCUCAUCGACGAGUUGCAGGAGGUGGUAAGGUCUCGUGCUCUUUGCUUUGCCAGACUGGGCGGCCGGCGUAAGCGGCGAGGUUCGAGGUGCGAUGCUUCAGGCGAAAGCCUGGUGUCGGCCUUGUGUCGACAGCGGUGACGGUGACGCCUUUGGGUGCCAUUUUUUCCUUCUUGGAGGAGUCAUUGUGAAGCUCCCGCAGCUCAUCCUUACAAUGUGCUCCGGGCGAAAGCCUAAGAUCCACUGUUGGAUCGGACUACGACGAUGUCCUUGAUGUCGUUACCCCCUUGGGGGCGCAGUCUUGGAGCCAUUGAUCCGUUGUUGGUCGUUUCUAGUCUUGGCUCGAGCACGAUUGGUCAGGCUGGGAUGUGGGGUGUCUGGUGGUGGUGGUGGAAGCGAUCUAUGGGUAUGGCUACUGCCUUGGUCAUCCUGGUGCUAUCUGUUGACCUCUCUUUUGGGGGCUCGUGGCGUCGGUGAAGUCUCGGAGAUCAGUGCCCUUCGGCGACGCAUGAGGUUUGGUUGCCUCGCAUAGUGUUCUGGUUCUCUCUAUUUGUGAUGGUGGUCGUGGUGUGGCUCAGAGGAGGUGUAGGGCUGUCUCGGCAAAACAUUGCCCUUCGGCGCGGUCGGCGGCUCUCUCUAUCGCGCCGUGCCUCGGCAGUGGGAAGCCCUUCGAUGGUGGUUGCGACUCUCCUAGCUCUUCAAGGUGCAGAGUGAUCGCAGUGCAGCAGGCAACUUCUUCUCUACAUCUACUCGGUGUUGAUUCUCCCUUCGACUGAUCCAACAAUGCUAGUUUCCCGUUUCUUCUCGGUCUGCUUAAUGGUGUUGGGUGCUAAGUUCUUGGUGUUGGCUAAUUAUCAUAGCUUGUUUCUGGUUCUUCUCUGUUGUUCCUUAUUCCUUCUUGUGUGUGUUGGGUGCUACUUCCUGUAGCCGUUGUGUUGUAUCUCAAUCCCUCUUAUGAUAAUGAAAAUGGUUCAGGCUGGCGUAAGCCCGCCGUAGCACCGUCAAAAAAGUGUAUGAUCUGCGUACAAGAUGCUUGCUGACACUAAGUUGCAUCGCGAAGCAUGUCUAGAGGGGAGAUCGGAAGCCUCAAACAGGGAAGAAGAGGAGAUGGCGUGAGUCCCGCAUCUAUAAACUUCUCCCCCAGCGUCGCCUCCCGCUAGGGCGACUCGGGCGGCGCCCAAAAACCUAGCCGCCGCCAACCCGCACUCCCUCCUCCUCUCCCUCCGGGGCGGCCGGGGGACGCCGGCGGUCUAAGCCGGGGGGCCGACGAAGGUGGCGGAGGACAUCACCUAUCUCCUGCUUCUCUGGGGUUGUGUGGAGCCCCGAUUCGCAUGGAGGCGCACCCGAUCCAAUCUGCGGUGUGGUGGCGUCGUAGGUGGCGCAGGUCGUGGGCACGGCGGCAGCGGCGCGGCGGCAUCGGAAGCAGUGCAGGCCGCGGGCGCGGCGGCAAGCCCUGUUCAGGCGGUGGCAGCGUACCAUCUGCCUUUGGAUCGGCGGCGGCGGCGUGGAUAGCCGGGUGGUUGCGUCGGCGGCACCUCCAGUCAGAUCUUUUCUGGUCGGUGUAGCCGGCGGUGGUGGUCAACUCUUCUGCCAUAGGUGGUCGGCCCGCGGCUGGGUGGUCGGAUCUUGAGAUUCGUCAUCUAGUCCCGGCUAUGAGUCAGGGAGACAUAGUUUCCAGUGAAAACCGAGCCAUUGGCAGACGAUGGCAGCGUUUUGCGUUGUUACCUUGAUGAAGGCAUUGUCGUGUAACUGCUGUCAACCCACUCGUGCUGCUUCGGGGGAAAUCCUAGGAUCUGGUCUUCCAGAUCGGAUGAUGACUGUACUACGGUGUUGUUUCUCUCUAGGGAGCAUCGUUUGUGGAGCAGUGCUAGAAGACAGAGGCAGGAGGUGGAGCGGCUUCCUCUUGCACGGAGCUUCGAUGGAGCUGUCAGGUCAUGCCUGGCCGACAGGUGCUACGCUGAGUCAUGACUGGUUGGCAGGUGCUAUGCAAGACAGAUCUUCCAGAGUCUCCGCGUCUGGAUAGACGAGCGCGGGGCGGUGACGCCGUUGGGCGCCGUGGUGGCGUCAACGGACGUCCAGAUUGGCAAGGAUGAUGCGGAUCUCUCUCCUGAAGAUGGAUCAGUGGUCCAAUGAUGAUGGCGGUUCCUAAAACGUGUGCAUGUGGUGAUGUUGGUCCCAGUACGUUAUGUGGAUGGAUCGGCGACGACUCCGGUUUUAGAUAUGGGGAGUGAGAGCACUCCAUAUUAUCGAGUUUGUAGGUGUGAGUGGUGGCUUCGGGUGGAUUGAUGUAUGUUCUUGCCGGUCCUUCUUUGUGGAAUAAUUAAUAAAAAAGACCGCAUGCAUCGGUUGAUGCAGAGGUCGGGGGUUUAACCUCCUUCUCUAUAUAAAAAAACAGUCAUGUCUAAGGUUAAAAUUUUCUUAUGGCAGCUGACUAGACAAUCAGCACAUCUGGCACACAAGUAUGUCACCAGUGAGCAACUAUUCGAUUUGCGGCAUGGAGGGCUCCUGGAUGCAUUAUUUGCUUCAUUGCAAUAUGGCCAGGUGUGUUUGGGCAUUAUUUGAUCAAGACAUGGUAGAAGCAAUGAGCAGAAUUGCUGAACCCGAAGCAAAACGUUGGAUAUUCAUGCUAGGAGUCGAUGCCUCAUAAGGAUUUUGUGACUAUCCUUGUAACAAUAUGGGAGAUAUGGCACGCGCGAAGGAAGGCCAUACACCAACAAGAUUUUCAAAGUCCUAAUGCGACACACCAGUUUAUUAUGCGAUAUCUGCAAGAUUUGGAAGCUGCAAAACCAAAGAAACCUUAGAUCCAGUGAAGGGAAAACAUCCCACCGAGGACACGCUGGUCUCCGCCACCCACGGGUCAUGGAAAACUCAAGGUGGAUGGGGCAGUGUCUAGAUCCCCCAAUGUUGGCUCUUUUGGUGCUGUUUGCAGGAACUCGGAAGGUACAUAUCUUGGAGCAUCAGCCAUCAAUUGUCUUGAUGUAACUGAACCUGCUACUCUUGAAGCUUUUUUUUUUAGAACGAAGGCUCAAGUCGAGCCCGGCUUUGAAUUAACAAAGCCAUCAACCGGCCAGGAUUACAGCAACCCACUUACAGGAGCAGAAUACAACAAAACAGCUAAGAGAUACAUGGUGCUCUGCAACAGAUAGCUAGCUUCAUACAACCUACAAGCAAAGAUGAAGAACACUAAAGCCAAGGAGCAGCUUGAAGAGAAUGAAGCCCUCCAUCGAUCGCAAUUCAUUGCUCAGUGGCACCCGGAAGGCCUUGAGGAGACACAACUAGCAGAUUGGAAGUAGCAACGUUGUUAGCUCCAUGGGCUGCGGCCAAAGCGGAAACAACCUUCUCCAUCUCCGAAAGGGGCUCCCUGCCCCCUCACCUGGCACGAGGCGCCGAUCCGUCGGAAGAUACAGACGCUAUCCCAAGAGCUAAGAUGAUUAACCACCACCGUUGCCACCAGGAAGACCAAACCAGAGCACCGCAAACCUGCAGCACCGGGCUCAACAAGGGGGAACCUUGGCACUAAGAGGAACUGCACACGAGGAGAAGCAAAUACACGGCGCGAGACUGUUGAUGACAAAGCUGCAAUGGAGGAAGCCCCAACACUGCAGACUCCAACCACGCAACCGCCGAACGCCUACCAACGGAGCAGACUCGCCAUCGCCCCAAAACUCACCAAAGGCGGCACCUUCAUGAAGGAGACGGCGCCAUGGGCGUCGCUGCCGCCCAAUCCAGAUGGAUUUUGGCUUUCGCCCGGAAAUGAGCAGGGGAGAAAGGCAAAAGGGGAAGGGAAGUACCAAAAUGGCUCCUACAGGUAGGGGACGGCGCCCGUGGGCGUCGCCGCCGUCGUGGCCGGCUGAGUCGGCCUGAAUUUCUCCGGGCACUACACCGCCCCCAGCCCCAACUUCAAACACGGCGCCUGCAGCCAGGGACGACCGAAGACCGGAUCUGAAAGGGGAUCUGAGCGUUGGAGGCGAAGGCGUCGGAUCCGGACGGGCCCCCGCAGCCCGGCGUCCAGCAGCCUCCACCCGCCGCCACCUUGCCGCCCGCGCGGCCAAGGCAGCCGGCUAGCACCCGCGGCCGCCGUUGGCUGAGAACUGCGUCGCGCCACCACCCGAGGCCGCCGCCUCGGCUCCAGAGACCCCCGCACGCGACGGAGCAGGCAGAUCCUCGACGCCACCUUCCCCGGCGGCCGCGCGGCUUGCCGGCGACCCCCUCCGGUGGCGACGAGGUAGAGGACCCCCUAAGAAUUCACCAUGUUCCGGAAGACGCGAAGUAAUCUCGCGGAUCAACAUCAUAUGCUCCGAUCGGUCGCCAGUACCUCCUUCAAUUAGUUUUACCACUUUUGCGCAGUCCGUUUGAAUCACAAAAGGCAGCUCAGACCACUGGUAGCCGGGGAGAUGCCUUCUGAACAUGCAGCAAGUUCAGAUCCUAGUGGUGAUGCACACUGCCUUAACUCACGGCAAGACGAAAAAAUAAUAUCUCCAUGUUCAUCUCGGAGGACCAUGCCAGCUCCUGCAGUUCCAUCCUUGGCAGAAAAGGACCCGUCGAUGUUGAGCGCAGCCCAGCCGACCGGCGGUGCCUCCCAUCCAAGUGCUGAUGGCUUCUCAUGCUCUACAUGUGAUAACAAUUUCCUGCUAUACAAAGGUGCAGCCAUCAUUUUUCCUUUGAUGUGAUCUCCAUGAGGGUACGCCUGGAUGGCUAGCAAUGAGUUGAUAUAGCUGGAUAGGAAUCUGGUCGAGGCUUCGACCGGCGGUGGUCGUUUGUCGUGGACGAUCUCAUUCCUCACAUACCAGCAACGUCAAAUCGUCAUGAGCGUAUACAUCCGCUCCUCUGAUGACAAGUCCGCGAGCACAUGAAAAGGCCACUCUGGCCCAGUGUGCAUUACUCGACGGAUGUCCGGAAUAUUCCAUUGCCGCGCCAUAGCUUGCCACAAGGCGAUCGCAUGAGGACAUCUGCAGAGAGCAUGAAAAGUGUCCUCCGGUUCGGUAGCACCCACAGGACACAAGUUAUAUACUUCAAGGCUACAAGCAUGUUUAUUAGUCCAUGUGGCCAGACAGUUCAUCGCUACCCACCAAGCAAACACACGCACCUUAGGAGGAGCAUGGCACCUUCAUAAAAAAACCCAGACGGCUCGCCGCCCGUCCGGUGCCCUGCUCGCCGCGACUGAAGAUGGACGAAGACGUUCAUCAAGUGCAAGCCGGUACGCGCUCCGAACCGUGAAGAUACCAUUACGCUCCGGUUCCCAAGCAAGGACAUCCUCUUCGAGCCGUGGAGAAGUCCGAAUUUUAACAAUCUGCUCGACAUCUACCGGAUUGAAAUAUUGUUGUAAAAGGUCCAUACGCCAUGCACCACGUUCAUCCAGCAGCUCGGAAACUCUUCUCAGACGGCAUCGCCCUUGCACGGUGAUAGGCUUGCCAGAGCCACCGUUCGGGAUCCAACGAUCUCUCCAUCAUCCUGCUCCUUCAUCUUCGAGGGACGGGAGUCCAAUAUCAAGGCACAUAGCGUCGCCAAGUUCGCUCUAAACCUAGCUAGUGGUAGACAUAUUUUCCUCUUUUGAACUGGACAAAUUUGGCUUAACCAGCCUCGUGAUAUUCAGUGUAUCGUUCUAAACUCUGUGAAAUAUCAAUAAAGUGAGCGAUUUUGGCCUCAAAAAAGAAAACCUAAAAAAAACAAGUGUCUCACAAAAAAAUCCUAAACAACAAAGACAACAGAAAAGGGAUCAAUGAAUUUGCCUAUACAUCCACAUCUAGAUGAGUUUUAAACACACCCUAUAGGCGUGCUUGUGGAGGUCAAAACGAACACAGACAUGCAAAAGGAAUAGGCAGCAAGGCACGGGAAAAUCCUAUUUGACGCUAACUACGUCAAACUGUCCAGGGUUCGCGCAAGCGAUCCCCCCAAGCGCGAGAAUUGGGCCGGCCCACUAUCCCAUAACGAGGCAGCCGGUUUUGGGAACCUUCCAUAAGGUUCCCUGAACCGACUUUCUUGUUUUUUAAACCAGUUUAGCGGUUUUCUUUUGUGAUUGUUUUUUAUUUUUUGUUUUUCACUUUUUCUGUUUCAUUUCUUUUUUCGGUUCUUUUCUCUGUUUCUUUUUUUUACUUUUUUGUUUUCGGUUUUUGUUUCUUUUAUCAGGUUGAUAUUUUCUUGUUUAAACUUUUCUAUAAAUUGCCAAUUUAAAAAAUGCUUAACAUCUUCCAAAAUUGUUUGUUUUAUUCACAUUUUUCAAAAAUUAAAAUUUUAGAUGUUUUAAAAAAUUGUUUGCAUUUUUCAAAAAUUUCAUAAUUUUAAAUUUUCUUCACGUUUAUCAAACAGAUUGAAGUUUCAAAUUUUUGUUCAUAUUUUCUAAAUAUUGUUUGUGACUUCAAAAUUUGUUCAUGUUUUUCACAAAACUUCAGAGUUUCAAAAAAAAUACAAAAAUCGUUUGUCAAUUUUGUCCCAUUUUUCAAAAUUGGUUUGCGUUUUCAAAAAAUGUUUGUAAUUCCAAAAUCUAUUUGUGUUUUAAAAAAAGUUAAAUUUUAUUAAAAAAUAAUGUUUACAAAAAUUGUUCAUCAAUUUUUUGUUCCCAUUUUUAAAAAUUUGUUCGCGUGUUCAAAAAAUGUUCGUAAUUCCAAAAUUUGUUCACAUUGUUCCAAAUUGUUCGUAUUUUCCAAGUAUUCAGAAUUUCGAAGAUUGUUCACGUUUUCAAAAAUGGUCCAAGUAUUAAAAAAUACCAUGUUUCUCGAAAAUUGUUCGCAAUUUUUAAAUUUGUUCAUAUUUUCUUGAAAGUUCAGAGUUUCAAAUUCUGUUCACGAUUUCAAAAUUUGUUCCCAUUUUUUAAAAUUUUAAAAUAUGUCCAAAAUUUUGCUCACAAUGUUGAAAAAUGUAUGCGUUUCAAAACGUAUUCAGUUUUUUCAAAAAUAAGAAACGCGGUCGAAAUUUCAGAAAACUUUCAUAAAGGACCGUCCGAAUGGUUUUUUUUGAGCAUCAAUACAGACACAAGCGCUCAUAUACAUGCGCAUACACUCAACCCUAUGAACGCACACACGCACACCCUACCCUUAUGAGCACCUCCGAGAGACCGAGCCGGCAUAUCAUCUUGAGAUUUACGAAGCGCCUCGUCGUCGACGGGAACGUCUCCUCCCACUGAAAGCGCAUUGCCGGAAAUCCUGAAAUAAAUCCAGAAAUAAUGCGAGCACCAUGAUUUGAACCCUGGUGGGUUGGAAAUACCACUGCCCACCUAACCAUCUCAACCACAGGUUGGUUCGCCACCGCGCGAAUGGUUGGUUGGUGCAUUGGUGUGCUGCUGCGUCUCAUAGCGAAAGGUCCUGUGUUCGACUCCCAGCUAAAGCAGUAACUUUUGGAAUUUUCAAUACCAGCUGCUAUUUGCCGCAAAAUGCGGCACAUAGGACCUCCGGCAAGGCACCACCCGGCCGUGUUAAAAGUCGGACAAAGAACAUGUACAAGUGAAACAAGGGACCAGUGCGUCCAGCGAGAAAUCUUGAUUAGGCGAUCUGACGGCCCAGCGCGCCGCCAACGCGUCCCCUGAUAUCCGCCACCUAAUCUGAAUCUUUUUUCAAAAUUUCUCACAGAAGUAUUUUGUGAAGCACCGAAACUUUUUUGCUAGUGAAACUAGACGCAUAUAUACGUGUCCAUAUGCACAUUGGUAUGCAUAAGCUAACGGCCCAUGUCAUCGACACUUGCAUGACAACUGAAUUCUCAGUUGGUCUCAGCUGGAUUUCUGGGAUUUGGUCUCGACUUUCAACGACCAUGUGAGCCAAUCACGAAGCGAAGCCAUCAGACCAACUAUUGGUAUGCAGAGGGGCUACCGGGUGCCCCCGUCGCGGCGCUUGAGCUUAUGGGUGUACUUGAAGAUGGAUUCGAGGCGCUGCUGCUGCAGUUGCUCGCGGAAUCUCUGGAUGAAUUUCUCCGCCUCGGCAUCCACCUCGGAGCAGGUGGCUUCCUCUGUCGGAGGCGACCGCUGCGGCGGCUUGUCCAUGCUCACCGUCGAUGGCAACCUCGUCACUCUUGUUUGUGUUUUGAUCCACCGAACUAUCAACUCAGGGAAGUGCCAAAAAUGUAACAUAUAUGACCUGAAAGUGUUAUAAUUGUAGUAGGCAGCUCCCUGCAAUUAACACACCCAUCAGUCAAAUGCGUGUGAAAAUCUGCAACAUAAAAGUUGCAAGGACAACAACUUACAGCCGGAGAAGUGUGAUCCUCUUCCAUCAUUUCUUCAGACUCCACAUCUGUCCCUUCACCAUGCAUCACAUCCUCUUCCCCCAACCUCCGGAGUUCAAGUCUAGGAUGACCAGGAUGAGUGCUGGUUGCACUCCUAAUAGCAUCCUCUACAACUUCCAUCUCCCUAGCCUCUGCGUCCUCGCAGGCAAUAUCUACACGGAGAUAUCUGAGGGCAGCAAUAUGCUCAAUGUCAAACUGAAAACCAUAAUUCACAAACACUCCUUUUACUCGAAACUUGAGGUGGAGAUUUUCCAGUGCAAGCAUACUCCCUUGUUCAAACAUCACCAUGUCCAAAACAUUCGAACAAAUGAAGUCAAAUUGCUUUAGACAUCGGAA